UUCCCUUGCCCACCAAAAUGCAAUUGACGACAGGUAUUGGGUCUGUCAUGUUUGGGUAAAAUUGUACACCAGGACUUUUGGCAUCUUCAUAUGUUUUUUUUGUGCGUUUCUCUUUUUUUGUGCGACGUGCAUGUUUAUGUAAAUAAUAAUAUUGUUUUCGUGAAACCCCGCGUGGAGUAACCGAGCGAUAGGUCUGGUUUUAUUAAGGUAAGCUGUCGCCCUCAGAGGACAGAAAGAAAAGAUUGUGAGUCUUGCAUGGGGCUGAAAUCAGAGGGAAGCACGAGUGUUUCCCAGAGAAGUGGACGUGAAUUUUGAGGGCUGCGAUACAUUCAAGGACUUUGGAGAGAAAAGGAAGAUUAGGCGAAGACCAAGUGACAGUGAUGCUUUUGUUGUGAGCCUGUUACCUGAAAUGGGUGGCCGAGAGCCGAAGGCUGCUUUGCAGGCAGGACAUCUCAGGAAAUCAAGGUUGACUCGUUUCCACUGUCAUUCCAUGGAGUCUGAGUGACUGACGAGACAAAUUGGGGACCCGCAGAUGUGGCAGAAGGUGCUUGAUGGGGAGAAUGGAGCAGUGAUUUAAGAGGCAUACUCAGUAAAUCCAAGAACCAUAAUAGGAUCAAUGAAAGACCACACCCAACAGGACGGACAAACAACCAAUGUGCAAAUGACAACAAACUGUGCAAAUCCAAAAGAAAAAAAGAAAUAAUAUUAGCAUUGACAGUUGAACAAUGAAAUACAAUAGAAUCAAUGAAAAACUACACACAAACACGGGCAAACAACCAAUGGACAAAAGAAGAAAAGCUGUGCAAAUACUAAUGCCACUGUCUAGUCCGUGUCGGGACUGAGUGAAGUGGGGGAGAAGUGUGUGUUGGAGCGCGACACGUCACGGACAAUGGAGCUUGCCCAAGUCUUCAGGGAGAACCGUCACCCCGACACAAGGAUUGGAUCGGACAAUGAGUAUCGACACUGGACUAGCUGGUAAUUUAUGGAUAUGCCAGCGACCAGGUGAACACUGGACUGCACUCAAAAGAUUUCUGUGGCAGGUGGAGGGAUGUUUACUCUUUUGCGAUGGUCUCCAGCUACAGUCUCUCUGCUUCGCAGGAAUCACUGCACUGUAAAAUCACAGCUGGGAGGGUGAUGAAGAGGAGAGGAGAGAAAUGUCGUUUGGGAGUCCUGGUCGUUUUCCCACACUGAACCAAAGCAAUCCUUGGUCAAGGUCAGUUCCAGGGAAAGCUGGCCCAGCUUCUCCAGUCUCUCAAUCCCAGGCAACAUUCUGGAAUUCUGCAGAUGCUGGAAAUUCAAGCAACACACAUCAAAGUUGCUGGUGACCGCAGCAGGCCAGGCAGCAUCGCUCGGAAGAGGUGCAGUCGACGUUUCAGGCCGAGACCCUUCGUCAGGACUAACUGAAGGAAGAGGGCCGUGGACAAUUCUGAUUUGAUGGAGAAUGGAUGUGAAAGCACAGAGGAACAUCUGGAGAAAUUUCUGAAACGUCCGUCCGCUGCUGUCGUUACUGUGUAGUCGGGAAUCUUUCGGAGGGUAGGCCUCUAAAUCCCCGGCCUUGCCUGCUUUUGGCAACCGAGAAGGAGGUUGAAUUGUUCGGCAGAGAUGCCACUCAGUACUCAGUAUCGGAGAGCUGAUCAGAGCUCGAAGUUUUCGGACGACUCAGAGUCGGAUUGUGGUCGGCAUGGCAGAGAGAGUUUUUCUUCCUUCUCCCGUCUAUGUGAGAUGUGGGACAUUUGAGAAACUUUGAACUUUACUGUGCUCAUGGACUUCUUCAUCAAGUUAUGGUAUUGUUUCACUGUUUGUAACUACAUGUAUAAAUAUGUGGUUUUGUCAGUUUUUUCAGUCUUGGCUUGUCUUGACAAGACAGUUAGGGGUCUGUCUUGUCUCCCUUUCUCUUCACCAUUUACACCUCUGACUUCAACUACUGCACAGAGUCUUGUCAUCUUCAGAAGUUUUCUGAUGACUCUGCCAUAGUUGGAUGCAUCAGCAGGGAAGAUGAGGCUGAGUACAGGGCUACGGUAGGAAAUUUUGUCACAUGGUGUAAGCAGAAUUAUCUGCAGCUUAAUGUGAAAAAGACUAAGGAGCUGGUGGUAGACCUGAGGAGAGCUACGGUACCGGUGACCCCUGUUUCCAUCCAGGGGGUCAGUGUGGACAUAGUGGAGGAUUACAAAUACCCGGGGAUACGAAUUGACAAUAAACUGGACUGGUCAAAGAACACUGAGGUUGUCUACAAGAAGGGUCAGAGCCGUCUCUAUUUCCUGAGGAGACUGAGGUCCUUUAACAUCUGCUGGACGAUGCUGAGGAUGUUCUACGAGUCUGUGGUGGCCAGUGCGAUCAUGUUUGCUGUUGUGUGCUGAGGCAGCAGGCUGAGGGUAGCAGACACCAACAGAAUCAACAAACUCAUUCGUAAUGCCAUCGAUUUUGUGGGGAUGGAACUGGACUCUCUGACGGUCGUGCCUGAAAAGAGGAUGCUGUCCAAGUUGCAUGCCAUCUUGGACAAUGUCUCCCAUCCACUACAUAAUUGUUACUAAUCCACUACAUUAGUAAGUCAAAGGAGCUGGUGAUAGACUUUAGGAAGAUUAAGCCUGCACUGCUCCCUGUUACUAUUGAUGGUGAGGAUGUGGAGCCACUACAUGGCUCCCUUCAUGUUUACCCUGUAUACUUUGGACUUUAGACACAACACUGAGUCAUGUCAUCUGCAGGAAUUCUCUGAUGACUCAGCAAUAGUUGGAUGUAAAACGAGAGGACGGGAGGAUGAAUACAGGGCCCUGGUGGAGGACCUUGUCAAAUCAGAAUCAGAAUCAGAAUCAGGUUUAUUAUCACCGGCAUGUGACAUGAAAUUUGUUAACUUAGCAGCAGCAGUUCAAUGCAAUACAUAAUAUAGCAGAGAGAGAGAAAAAAGAAUAAAUAAAAUAAAACAGAAUAAUAAAUAAACAAGUAAAUCAAUUACGUAUAUUGAAUAGAUUUUAAAAAUGUACAAAAGCAGAAAUACUGUAUAUUAAAAAAAGUGAGGAAGUGGCCAAAGCUUCAAUGUCCAUUUAGGAUUCGGAUGGCAGAGGGGAAGAAGCUAUUCCUGAAUCGCUGAGUGUGUGCCUUCAGGCUUCUAUAUCUCCUACUUGAUGGUAACAGUGAGAAAAGGGCAUGACCUGGGUGCUGCCUUUCUGAGACACCACUCCCUAAUGGUGCACGGCUGCACCUCAACAUUAGUAAGUCAAAGGAGCUGGUGAUAGACUUUAGGAAGAUUAAGCCUGCACUGCUCCCUGUUACUAUUGAUGGUGAGGAUGUGGAUGUGGUGAGGGUCUACAAGUACCUGGGGGUGCACUUGGAUUACAAACGUUAGUGGAGCACCAACACAGAGGCUGUGUACAAGAAGGGCCAGAGUUACCUCUACUUCCUGAGGAGACUGAGGUCCUUUGGGGUAUACAGGCCUCCCUUUCACGUGUUCUACCAGUCUGUUGUCGCCAGUACAAUCUUCUAUGUGGUGGUGUGCUGGGGCAAUGACAUCAACCUAGGUGAUGCCAACAGGCUCAAUAAACUGAUUAGAAAGUCUGGCUCUGUUAUAGGAGUCAAACUGGGCACACUGGAGGCUGUGGUAGUCCAAAGGAUCCUACAGAAAUCUUGACAAUUCCGGACCAUGUUCCUUGCCCUCUGCAUGCCACCUUGGCUGAACAGAGGAACACUUUUAGUAAUAGACUAAGACAACUGUGCUGCUCUAAAGAGUGCUAUGUGAGGCCAUUCUUACUCUCGGCCAUAGGCUCUAUAAUGAGUCAACCUAUAGCCAGGGAAGUGAUUAUCCCCUCCUGUUAGACUGUUUUAAGUAACUUAUUUUUUAUUCUUUCUUACUUCUCUCCUAAUAUUUGUACAUCUCUGCAUGUGUAAUGCUACUGUGACACUAA
Long non-coding RNA from Mobula hypostoma (lesser devil ray), 3896 nucleotides. RefSeq lists it as uncharacterized. The record is from RefSeq and is a predicted model, not a curated record. Lineage: Eukaryota; Metazoa; Chordata; Chondrichthyes; Myliobatiformes; Myliobatidae. The transcript has 11 exons.